UAUCACUGAUAUUGAUGAUUAAUAAGGACAUGAGCAUUUUACUCACCCAUGAGGGGCAAUACAUAAGACAGUAAAUCUUUAAAUUGUCUGUUCCUGCAAGACCAUACAAGGACAGUAAAUUCUUCAGUUUAUUCAGCAUUGAAUAACCACCUCUUUUUCAAAUCUAUCAAACCGAUUACAGAAGUUAUAGACGAUGGUCAUCGGCUUCAACCCUAAAAGCUGUGACCCAUUGCAGAGCCAAAGCAGAGUUACCUGGGCACAGAUGGGACCCAUCUGCUCUUCUGCAGGGAUGCCAUGUAACAGAUUUCAACAAACCAAUCAGGAGGCAAUGGUUUUUGGUGUUGCCAGGCAACCAGAAGGCACUGGAAAUAUACUUUCCUACUCAAACUCUUACACCUGGGGGGUGGUAGUGAGGAUACACUGAAAGUUGGUUUUAGAAACUCCUGCCAUGCAUCUCUUCAGUGCAAAGUGAAGGAACAGCAGGGUCAGGAAGUGAAGCGGAAAGAUCAUGUGAUGAGGGUAAGGGUGUGUGGCAUGAGGUUCCCAUCUAACGUCUGGUCUUCAGGACAUCCAUCAGUGAUGGCCUGAAUCAUUCCAUAGAAAACAACAGUGCACACUGCACUGUCAGAUGCAGCACAUGCACAUACUGCACUGUCAGGGGUAUA
This is a long non-coding RNA of Anguilla anguilla (European eel), 665 nucleotides long. RefSeq lists it as uncharacterized. Lineage: Eukaryota; Metazoa; Chordata; Actinopteri; Anguilliformes; Anguillidae. The record is from RefSeq and is a predicted model, not a curated record. The transcript is spliced from 3 exons.